AGAGUUUGAUCAUGGCUCAGGAUGAACGCUGGCGGAGUGCCUAACACAUGCAAGUCGAGCGGCAGCACGAGUAGUUUACUACUUGGUGGCGAGCGGCGGACGGCUGAGUAACACGUGGGAACGUGCCCCAAAGUGAGGAAUAACUGCCCGAAAGGGUAGCUAAUGCCGCAUAUGAUCUUCGGAUUAAAGUAUUUAUUACGCUUUGGGAGCGGCCCGCGUCCGAUUAGGUAGUUGGUGAGGUAAAGGCUCACCAAGCCCACGAUCGGUAGCUGGUCUGAGAGGAUGACCAGCCAGACUGGAACUGAGACACGGUCCAGACUCCUACGGGAGGCAGCAGUGAGGAAUCUUCCACAAUGGACGAAAGUCUGAUGGAGCAACUCCGCGUGCAGGAUGAAGGCCUUCGGGUCGUAAACUGCUUUUAUGAGUGAAGAAUAUGACGGUAACUCAUGAAUAAGGGUCGGCUAACUACGUGCCAGCAGCCGCGGUCAUACGUAGGACCCAAGCGUUAUCCGGAGUGACUGGGCGUAAAGAGUUGCGUAGGUGGUUAGUAAAGUGAAUAGUGAAAUCUGGCGGCUCAACCGUACAGGCUAUUAUUCAAACUCACUAACUCGAGAAUGGUAGAGGUAACUGGAAUUUCUAGUGUAGGAGUGAAAUCCGUAGAUAUUAGAAGGAACACCAAUGGCGUAGGCAGGUUACUGGACCAUUUCUGACACUGAGGCCACGAAAGCGUGGGGAGCGAACCGGAUUAGAUACCCGGGUAGUCCACGCCGUAAACGAUGGAUACUAGCUGUUGGAGGUAUCGACCCCUUCAGUAGCGAAGCUAACGCGUUAAGUAUCCCGCCUGUGGAGUACGGUCGCAAGACUAAAACUUAAAUGAAUUGACGG
Molecule: ribosomal RNA, 885 nt
Filed under: uncultured bacterium
Lineage: Bacteria
Description: bacterial SSU rRNA
Rfam family: Bacterial small subunit ribosomal RNA
Source: RNAcentral